This 455-nucleotide ribosomal RNA is filed under the name uncultured soil bacterium. RNAcentral's name for it is "bacterial SSU rRNA". It matches the Rfam family "Bacterial small subunit ribosomal RNA", at positions 62 to 519 of the family's 1533-position model. The record is from RNAcentral.
UCGAACGGUAACAGGUUAAGCUGACGAGUGGCGAACGGGUGAGUAAUAUAUCGGAACGUGCCCAGUAGUGGGGGAUAGCCCGGCGAAAGCCGGAUUAAUACCGCAUACGACCUACGGGUGAAAGGGGGGGAUCGCAAGACCUCUCGCUAUUGGAGCGGCCGAUAUCAGAUUAGCUAGUUGGUGGGGUAAAAGCUCACCAAGGCGACGAUCUGUAGCUGGUCCGAGAGGACGACCAGCCACACUGGGACUGAGACACGGCCCAGACUCCUACGGGAGGCAGCAGUGGGGAAUUUUGGACAAUGGACGAAAGUCUGAUCCAGCCAUGCCGCGUGCGGGAAGAAGGCCUUCGGGUUGUAAACCGCUUUUGUCAGGGAAGAAAAGCUCCGAACUAAUAUUUUGGGGUGAUGACGGUACCUGAAGAAUAAGCACCGGCUAACUACGUGCCAGCAGCCGCG